UAGGGGAGCGUUGUAUGCGGGUAGAAGCUGGAUCGUGAGGACUGGUGGACUGCAUACAAGUGAGAAUGCCGGUAUGAGUAACGAAAAGAUCAGUGAGAAUCUGAUCCGCCGUAAGCCUAAGGGUUCCUGAGGAAGGUUCGUCCGCUCAGGGUAAGUCGGGACCUAAGGCGAGGCCGAAAGGCGUAGUCGAAGGACAACAGGUUGAAAUUCCUGUACCACCGUGAACCGUUAUGAGCGAUGGGGUGACGCAGAAGGAUAGUGACGCGAGCUGAUGGAUGCUCGUCCAAGCAGUGAGGCUGGUGUGCAGGCAAAUCCGCACACCGUAAGGCUGGGCUGUGAUGGGGAGGGAAAUUUAAGUACCGAAGGUCAUGAGUUCAGGCUGCCAAGAAAAGCCUCUAGCCAGGGAGAAGGUGCCCGUACCGCAAACCGACACAGGUAGGCGAGCAGAGCAUGCUAAGGCGCUCGGAAGAACUCUCGUUAAGGAACUCGGCAAAAUGACCCCGUAACUUCGGGAGAAGGGGUGCCUCGGUAGGGUGAAUAGCCCGAGGGGGCCGCAGUGAAAAGGCCCAAGCGACUGUUUAGCAAAAACACAGGUCUGUGCGAAGCCGCAAGGCGAAGUAUACGGGCUGACGCCUGCCCGGUGCUGGAAGGUUAAGGGGAGCGGUUAGGGGCAACCCGAAGCUGUGAACCGAAGCCCCAGUAAACGGCGGCCGUAACUAUAACGGUCCUAAGGUAGCGAAAUUCCUUGUCAGGUAAAUUCUGACCCGCACGAAUGGCGUAACGACUUGGGCGCUGUCUCGACGAGAGAUCCGGUGAAAUUUUAAUACCUGUGAAGAUGCAGGUUACCCGCGACAAGACGGAAAGACCCCAUGGAGCUUUACUGCAGCUUGAUAUUGGACUUUGGUACGAUCUGUACAGGAUAGGUGGGAGCCUGGGAAGCCUGCGCGCCAGCGUGGGUGGAGGCGCCGUUGGGAUACCACCCUGAUCGUAUCGGAGUUCUAACCUGGUACCGUGAACCGGUACGGGGACAGUGUCAGGUGGGCAGUUUGACUGGGGCGGUCGCCUCCUAAAGAGUAACGGAGGCGCCCCAAGGUUCCCUCAGAAUGGUUGGAAAUCAUUCGAAGAGUGCAAAGGCAUAAGGGAGCUUGACUGCGAGACAAACAGGUCGAGCAGGGACGAAAGUCGGGCUUAGUGAUCCGGUGGUACCGCAUGGAAGGGCCAUCGCUCAACGGAUAAAAGCUACCCUGGGGAUAACAGGCUUAUCUCCCCCAAGAGUCCACAUCGACGGGGAGGUUUGGCACCUCGAUGUCGGCUCAUCGCAUCCUGGGGCUGAAGUAGGUCCCAAGGGUUGGGCUGUUCGCCCAUUAAAGCGGUACGCGAGCUGGGUUCAGAACGUCGUGAGACAGUUCGGUCCCUAUCUGUCGUGGGCGCAGGAAAUUUGAGAGGAGCUGUCCUUAGUACGAGAGGACCGGGAUGGACGUACGCUGGUGUACCAGUUGUUCCGCCAGGAGCACGGCUGGAUAGCCAAGUACGGACGGGAUAAGCGCUGAAAGCAUCUAAGCGUGAAGCCCCCCUCAAGAUGAGAUUUCCCAAUUAGUAAGACCCCUUGU
Molecule: ribosomal RNA, 1610 nt
Filed under: Paenibacillus sp. JCM 9795
Lineage: Bacteria; Bacillati; Bacillota; Bacilli; Caryophanales; Paenibacillaceae
Description: bacterial LSU rRNA
Rfam family: Bacterial large subunit ribosomal RNA
Source: RNAcentral